RNAcentral lists this microRNA (21 nucleotides) under Sus scrofa (pig). RNAcentral describes it as "ssc-miR-9801-5p". Lineage: Eukaryota; Metazoa; Chordata; Mammalia; Artiodactyla; Suidae. The record is from miRBase by way of RNAcentral.
CAUUUUAAGGAUCGUGUGGGU